This 378-nucleotide ribosomal RNA is filed under the name Cambarus deweesae. RNAcentral's name for it is "partial 16S large subunit ribosomal RNA". The stretch from base 43 to 378 matches the Rfam family "Bacterial large subunit ribosomal RNA", at positions 2048 to 2596 of the family's 2925-position model. The record is from RNAcentral. Lineage: Eukaryota; Metazoa; Arthropoda; Malacostraca; Decapoda; Cambaridae.
ACAAGAAAUAAUCUGUCUCAGGUUAAUAUAUUGAAUUUAACUUUUGAGUGAAAAGGCUUAAAUAAUCUGAAGGGACGAUAAGACCCUAUAAAACUUUAUAUUGAAAAGUGGUAGGUAUGCUUUGUUUAAAGAUUAUUACUUUAAAGUAUUUGGUUGGGGUGACAGAAAUAGAAUGGAAAGUAACUGUUUUUUUUUUUUACAGUGAUGUUUGAGUUAAUGAUCCUAAAAUGGAUUAAAAGAUUAAGUUACUUUAGGGAUAACAGCGUAAUUUUCUUUAAGAGUUCUUAUCGAUAAGAAAGUUUGCGACCUCGAUGUUGAAUUAAAGGUUCUUUAUGGAGUAGAGACUAUAAAAGAAGGUCUGUUCGACCUUUAAAACUU